UUGUCUCAAGGCCAUUGCUCCCAGGUGCUCAGACAGGCCAUGGGAACAGUCAGGGUUUGGAAGAGGAGGGAGGGGACAAAGGAGAGGAAGAAGACAAGCCCUUGCCCAGUCUGGUCCCUAAUCUCAUGAAAUGGCCAGAAAAUGUACCCAGAU
This is a long non-coding RNA of Varanus komodoensis (Komodo dragon), 153 nucleotides long. RefSeq lists it as uncharacterized. The record is from RefSeq and is a predicted model, not a curated record. NCBI's taxonomy places the organism in Eukaryota, Metazoa, Chordata, Lepidosauria, Squamata, Varanidae. The transcript has 4 exons.